GCUAAGAAUAUUCCGCAAUGGACGAAAGUCUGACGGAGCGACGCCGCGUGGAUGAAGAAGGCCGAAAGGUUGUAAAAUCCUUUUGCCGAUGAAGAAUAAGUGUGGUAGGGAAUGACCGCAUGAUGACAUUAGUCGGUGAAUAAGCCCCGGCUAACUACGUGCCAGCAGCCGCGGUAACACGUAGGGGGCAAGCGUUGUUCGGAAUUAUUGGGCGUAAAGGGCAUGUAGGCGGUUUCGUAAGCCUGGUGUGAAAUCCUGCAGCUUAACUGUAGAAUUGCAUUGGGUACUGCGAGACUUGAAUCACGGAGGGGAAACUAGAAUUCCAGGUGUAGGGGUGGAAUCUGUAGAUAUCUGGAAGAAUACCGGUGGCGAAGGCGGGUUUCUAGCCGAUGAUUGACGCUGAGGUGCGAAAGUGCGGGGAGCAAACAGGAUUAGAAACCCGAGUAGUCC
This 450-nucleotide ribosomal RNA is filed under the name uncultured bacterium. RNAcentral describes it as "bacterial SSU rRNA". It matches the Rfam family "Bacterial small subunit ribosomal RNA", at positions 354 to 796 of the family's 1533-position model. The record is from RNAcentral.